RNAcentral lists this ribosomal RNA (433 nucleotides) under uncultured bacterium. RNAcentral describes it as "partial 16S ribosomal RNA". It matches the Rfam family "Bacterial small subunit ribosomal RNA", at positions 29 to 507 of the family's 1533-position model. The record is from RNAcentral.
AACGAACGCUGGCGGCAUGCCUAACACAUGCAAGUCGAACGAUUCUUUCGGGUCUAGUGGCGCACGGGUGCGUAACGCGUGGGAACCUGCCCUUAGGUUCGGAAUAACUUCCCGUAAGGGGUGCUAAUACCUGAUAAUGUCUUCGGACCAAAGAUUUAUCGCCUUUGGAUGUGCCCGCGUUGGAUUAGCUAGUUGGUAGGGUAAAAGCCUACCAAUGCGACGAUCCAUAGCUGGUCUGAGAGAAUGUUCAGCCACACUGGGCCUGAGACACGGCCCAGACUCCUACGGGAGGCAGCAGUGGGGAAUAUUGGACAAUGGGCGAAAGGCUGAUCCAGCAAUGCCGCGUGAGUGAUGAAGGCCUUAGGGUUGUAAAGCUCUUUUAACCGGGAUGAUAAUGACAGUACCGGGAGAAUAAGCUCCGGCUAACUCCGUG